RNAcentral lists this ribosomal RNA (119 nucleotides) under Pteropus alecto (black flying fox). Lineage: Eukaryota; Metazoa; Chordata; Mammalia; Chiroptera; Pteropodidae. The record is from RNAcentral.
GUCUACGGCCAUGCCACUGUGAACAAGCCCGAUCCCGCCUGAUCUCGGAAGCUAAACAGGAUCGGGCCUGGUUAGCACUUGGAUGGCAGACCACCUAGGAAUACCAGGUGCUGUAGACG